ACUUCUUUAUUCGUAAAACUCUGGCUUUCGGGACGAUAAUGACGGCACCUGAGGAGGAAGCCACGGCUAACUACGUGCCAACAGCCGCGGAAAUACCAAGGUGUUAAGCGUUGUCCGGAUUUACUGGGCGUAAAGGGAGCGUAGGAGGAUAUUUAACUGGGAUGGGAAAUACUCGUGCUUAACCUGAGUGCUGCAUUCCUACUGGAUAUCUACAGUGCAGGAGAGGAAAGAAGAAUUCCUAUUGCAACGCGGAAAUGGGUAUAGAUUACGAAGAAUACCUGCGGCGAAGGCGACCCCCUGGACUGUAUCUGACACUGAGGCUCCCCAGCGGGGGAAGCAAACAGGAUUAAAUACCC
RNAcentral lists this ribosomal RNA (356 nucleotides) under uncultured bacterium. RNAcentral's name for it is "bacterial SSU rRNA". It matches the Rfam family "Bacterial small subunit ribosomal RNA", at positions 414 to 787 of the family's 1533-position model. The record is from RNAcentral.